UGUGCCCUGUACAUGCCAUAAAAAGAAUAACAAAAUGAGUUUCUACCCUGAAGACCGAGUCUUCUAUAGAUGAACGGCAGCAGUUGUAAACGGACCCUCUACGGACCAAUCUCAAAACCUGCGAGUUAAACAGGUAACUCGCUGAGCAAAUAAAGCUCAGUGGAUAUCUCAACAUAAAACAACAAUAAGCACACAUAUAAGCAAAAAGCAUUAUGUAAGCACAUAUAAUCACACAUAACAUGCGGCUUUCAUUUUACCUUAAUGAUCUUUCUUACUGUUUAUUUUACUGUAUGAUUCAUGCAAUAGCAAGUUAAAAUAUCUGUAUGGCUCCAUAAGGUUAUAGUGAAACCGAAGUGAUAAGAUAAACUGUAUGAAACUGUAUGAAUACUGUAUGCUUGGCUGCUAUGGCCUGUAUAAUCAUAUCCACUCAACGGCCUGUAGCCGGAGUAACA
RNAcentral lists this long non-coding RNA (452 nucleotides) under Jatropha curcas. RNAcentral describes it as "long non-coding RNA (JCUR_LNC001494)". Lineage: Eukaryota; Viridiplantae; Streptophyta; Magnoliopsida; Malpighiales; Euphorbiaceae. The record is from RNAcentral.